RNAcentral lists this ribosomal RNA (468 nucleotides) under uncultured bacterium. RNAcentral describes it as "partial 16S ribosomal RNA". It matches the Rfam family "Bacterial small subunit ribosomal RNA", at positions 28 to 507 of the family's 1533-position model. The record is from RNAcentral.
GACGAACGCUGGCGGCGCGCCUAACACAUGCAAGUCGAACGGAGCUGAGAGAAGCUUGCUUUUCUUAGCUUAGUGGCGAACGGGUGAGUAAAGCGUGAGUAACCUGCCCUGGAGUGGGGGACAACAGUUGGAAACGACUGCUAAUACCGCAUAAGCCCACGAUCCGGCAUCGGAUUGAGGGAAAAGGAUUUAUUCGCUUCAGGAUGGACUCGCGUCCAAUUAGCUAGUUGGUGAGGUAACGGCCCACCAAGGCGACGAUUGGUAGCCGGACUGAGAGGUUGAACGGCCACAUUGGGACUGAGACACGGCCCAGACUCCUACGGGAGGCAGCAGUGGGGGAUAUUGCACAAUGGGGGAAACCCUGAUGCAGCGACGCCGCGUGGAGGAAGAAGGUUUUCGGAUUGUAAACUCCUGUCGUUAGGGACGAUAAUGACGGUACCUAACAAGAAAGCACCGGCUAACUACGUG